CCCUUAGACACUCUAGGCGGCACGCGCGCUACAAUGGGUGGAAGACUGUGUUACUGCCCUCGAAAGAGGGGGUGAAUCACGAAUUCUCACCCGUGAAUGGGAUAGUUUGUUGCAAUUUUCGGACUUGAACUAGGAAUUCCUUGUAAGCAUGCUCAAGAAUAGUGUGCUGAAUACGUCCCUGCCGUUUGUACACACCACCCGUCGUUUCUUCCGACUGAUACGAAUUGUGAGUUGCAAGGACCUUCAGGGGGAAUUGCCGCGAAUGCUUCGUAUUGGAGGAAGAAAAAGUCGUAACA
RNAcentral lists this ribosomal RNA (296 nucleotides) under uncultured eukaryote. RNAcentral describes it as "partial 18S ribosomal RNA". It matches the Rfam family "Eukaryotic small subunit ribosomal RNA", at positions 1470 to 1796 of the family's 1831-position model. The record is from RNAcentral.